Molecule: regulatory RNA element, 79 nt
Rfam family: Alpha-proteobacteria SAM riboswitch aptamer
About the family: This family is a riboswitch found predominantly in alpha-proteobacteria that binds S-adenosyl methionine (SAM).
Source: Rfam
UGCUUAUCCCGUGGUGAUUUGGCCGGUCGGCUUGCAGCCACGUUAAACAAAUGGCUAAAGAGACCGGGGCGAUGGAACC